GCGGGCCGGGCCUGUGUUCAGGACCAGAGCCGUCCUGGGUGCUUUUCCACGGAAGCUGGAAACAACCAUCACGACAGGACACACUGUCAGCUGGGGGCGGGGAGGGGGAGACGCUCUGACUGAUCCGCAGAAAGACAAAAACAGGCAGUUCUGCUGUUCUAGCAUUUCCCCUGGCUGGCCCUAGCCCAGGCCUGCGUUUUCCCCUGUUUAUUGACUUUGUUCCCUGUGAAUGUCCCCACGGAGUGACCUGGGCAGGGGGCACAAUGACAGUGGUCAUGAGUCAUCUCGAAACCUGUCUCUGAAGCAUUUUUCCCAGGCCAGGUGGUGAGGGACCUCUCCCCAUUAACUCAACACCAGGGAUGGGGCCAGAGGAACCCUUUGAUCCCUCCCUUCCUGAGUCCAGGCAGGAAAAGCUGACAACCGGUCAACGUCAAGGCUGCUGACUUGGACACAAGAUGGACGGGAAAUGCAAGGGGCUGAGCUUCUAUCCCCCUUCUGUGUCUGUCCCAGUACGUUUGUGGCAAUCCCUGCCACAUGGCGGUGGCCACCUGGUGCCACCUCUCCCCAGUGCAGCCAGCCGUUUCCCAACGACUGUCCCAGACUGGAUGCUUUCUUCCUGGAUGUGCUCACCCUGGUGGUGUGAGGUGACUGGAGGCUUAGCGGUUGGACGGCAGGCAGGGUUUCCAUGAGGCAGGUCUACAAAGGGAGGGGGCGACCAGGCUGCUGGGGAGUGAGCUCUGAGCCAAGGUCUGACAAAGCUUCAAAGUUCAUCUGAUGCCAGGGCGUGAAGACUCGCAGCACCUGCUUGAGCGGCCAGCGGGCUCUGUGGGCGCAGCUUCAGGGCAACUCUGGACACCCACCCCUGAGGGACGUCCUACUACCCGCCCUGCAGAUUCCCCUCUAGGUGUCCGGUUGCUAGAACUCAGGAGGACAAGAGUUCGGAUUAGAAGGGACCUCAGAGAUCUGGGCCGGGGACCCCAGACUCCUCAACCCUCGGAGCCCUUCAAGAAACAGUGGAUGCCUCACAAAUGAAAUAGGAAUGGCAUUGCCGACAUCCUUUACCUAUCAGCUCUCAGUUGCGUCAAGUUCGUGCCGAACCCUCUGCUUCCAGCAGGUGCCACCGUGCCUUCCACUGGGCUCACAGGGCAGCCCGGCCCCGCUCUGGCCGCGACCACCUGCCCUGGGAACACUCGGGCUUCUGGACACCCCACUCCUGCUUGCACCACCCGGGAAAAGGCCUUCCGAUCAGAUCGUGACCCCCUUCGAUGGAAACACGUCCUGACCUCAGAGAUGCUGGAAGAACUAUUUGCCGAGAACAGGAGUGGGGGGGCCUUACCAUCGCUGGGGCCCUGGACUCGAGGGACACUUUCCCAGCCACAUGUCUCUGCCUUCUGGGGCCGGGGUCUGGAGCAGCACUGGGUGCUGCAUCUCAGGUCCCUGGGAAGACAGCAGAGCCCCCCCCCCCCCCCCGGGAGACUGGACUCCUGGGGCUCCAGUCCCCAAGCCCUCCCCACAGCGGCUCUGCCCUUCCAGGAUGGAUGCCACCCCCCACCCCCGACUGGCACUCCCCGCCGCAGGUUCCUGUCUUCCCAGCCUUCCCCUCACUCCAUGUCCCCAUCUCUGAACCUACCCCUUCAUCCCAGAACACGUUUCCUAGAUUCUUCCCUAGGACGGCUUCUUCUGUGACCUCAUUGCACAGUGAAGGUGGGAGCGGGGGCCAGGGCCGAUGGAGGCCGGGUUAAGGAAGAGGCCGCAGCUCUCGGGCUCUCCGAGGCUGCCCGCUGCCCAUGGCUUGCAGCUCGCAUCUUUUCCCAUCAGGUAGGACGUGCCCUGGAGGACAAGGCAGGCUCUUCAUUGGAGGGCCACCCUCCCUGAGCCCUCCCCCGUGGUUACCAGGUGGGACACAGGCCCCUCCCUGUGUCCUCGAAGGCCAGCUCCUGCCAGGUCUGUGGGUGGCAGGAAGCCCCCCCCAGGAGUGUGUUCUCUGCCCUUAGUUCUUCUGUGGGUCUGGUUUUCCAGCAUCGUCAUCGUGGUGGGAACAGGAGCUUGUGUGUGCGCAACAAAAUCUGGAAGCAGCGACCGCCACGCCAAGGAUCACGCUUCUGAUAACAGUACAUAAAGUCUUAAAAAAGGACUAAGAAAAGCAAGCGGCUUCAUUAAGAUGCCACUGGCCAGCGUGAGAGCGCCCCGGCUUGGCGCUUCUCCUGGGAGUGCCCGCAGGCCGCAGAGCAGAGAGCAGGGGCUGCGGCCUCGCCAAGUGGGGAGUGGGCACAGGGGGCUGCGAGCUGAGCCAGGAGCUGGGCGCUCACACCCACUUCCCGGGGCCGUGAGUAAGCAGGCACUCUGGGCGUUGGGGGCAAAGUCCCCUUCCCCACAGGGGUGGCUGAAGAGAGGCCCCUGCCCCAAGCGUGCCUGCUGCCAUCUCCACGGGCGGUGCUACUGGACGGUGAGGGGCAGCGGGCCUCAUUUUCCCCAGUGCCCCACGGGGCCUUGUACAGCGGGCCCUUCUUGCAGGCCUGCGUGGUUCUGGGCACGUCUCCCCUCCUCGGCUCCGAUGAUCAAGCCCUCUUUCCUUUUGGGUGGGAAAAGCCAGGAUGGUCCAUUUAUUUUUAUUUUAUUUUAUUUUUUUUUAUUUAUGAUAGUCACAGAGAGAGAGAGAGAGGCAGAGACAUAGGCAGAGGGAGAAGCAGGCUCCAUGCACCGGCAGCCCGAUGUGGGAUUCGAUCCCGGGUCUCCAGGAUCGCGCCCUGGGCCAAAGGCAGGCGCCAAACCGCUGCGCCACCCAGGGAUCCCCAGGAUGGUCCAUUUAGAGGAGGGGUCCAAGGCCACAACCUGGCACCCCUUCCGGAGACCUGCACUCCCAGAAGCCAUUGCAGGGCUGUCCCAAGAGCUGCAGCUGCCUCCGGCCUCUUCAUAUGCCACUGUCAUUCCCCUGCCACCACCUGCUCUCCGGAGUCUGAGGACACGGGCACUAAUCCUGCCCCUCUAACAGGUGGGGGCUGUGGGCGGGAGCCCCCAGUAUUUAGGCACCUUGAUGUCACCUCCAGGAAGAGGACUGGUCUCAGGUGGGCCGAGGGGCCUUCUGCGUGCUGGCCAGGCCGUUUCGCUCCUCAAGCCUGCGCCCCUCAAAGCUCCUCAGAGCUGCGCACUGCUGUUCCCAUUUCCAGCGAUUUGCCAUGCAGGCGUCUGUCUCAUCCCAGGGAGAAUUGAAGCUUCCAGAAGACAGAGAUCCUAUCACCCGUUGACCUGAAAAUAAUUUAUGAUGAAUGAAAAAGUUGGCUUAAACCACAAUGAGAGACUUUGUAGCCAUUAGGAUGGCUGUUAUGAACACACACACACACGCAGAACACGUGGGUGAGGGUGUGGAGGAAUUGGGACCCUCGUGCACCGCUGGUGGGGAUGUAAAAGGGUGCAGCCAUUGUGGAAAGCAGGAUGGAGGCCCCUCAAAAGAGUAAACCUAGAACUACGUAGGACCCAGCAGUUCCUCUCUGGGGGUAUGCCCCGGAGAAGUGAAAGCAGGGACUUACACAGAUAUUUGUACACCCAUGACCAUAGCAGUGUCAGUCACAAUAGCCAGGAGAUGCAAGCGGACCAGGUGUCAUCAAUUAGCCAAUGGCUAAAAAUAAUUGACUGAUAAAUGGAGAAAAAUGUUGGAUGUCCAUACAGUGGGACACUGUUGAGGCAUAAAAAGGAAGGAAAUUCUGACAUGUGCUAUGACAAGGGAUGGGUCCUGAGGACUUUAUGCUCAGCGAAACAAGCCAGACCACAAAAGGACAAAUACUGUAGGAUUCCCCGUAUAUGAGGUCCCAGAGGAGAUACACAGUAUUGGAGGGGGUGCCAGGGGCCGGGGCGGGCGGAUGGGGCAUUAGUGUUUAAUGGGGACAGAGCUGCAUUUUGGGCAGUUGACAAAGUUCUGGAGAGGGAUAGUGGGGAUGGUUGCUCAACACUGUGAAUGUGCUUAAUGCCGCUGAACUGGACGCUUGAAAUGGUUAAAAUGGCAAAUUUCUAUUUUUUAUGUAUACUUGCACGUAUUUUACAAUUAA
Long non-coding RNA from Canis lupus familiaris (dog), 4043 nucleotides. RefSeq lists it as uncharacterized. The transcript is spliced from 3 exons. The record is from RefSeq and is a predicted model, not a curated record. NCBI's taxonomy places the organism in Eukaryota, Metazoa, Chordata, Mammalia, Carnivora, Canidae.